CAAUUUUCCCCCGGUGGCUUUUUGGAUCCGUGACAGAUUCUCACCGUGACGUUUCGUCGUCGUGAGCUUAAGGAUGACCGUCGCCGUCCGUAUAGAACUCGUACGUGCACUCUGUUUAAAUUAUUUGGAAUUGCGAAAACAUUAUCAUUUUGUCAUAGGUGCGUUUGUAUUGUACAGCACUGGAGCUAUUCGAGGAUACUCGGACAUUUG
Cinara cedri is the source of this 210-nucleotide non-coding RNA. NCBI's taxonomy places the organism in Eukaryota, Metazoa, Arthropoda, Insecta, Hemiptera, Aphididae. The record is from the annotation of a GenBank genome assembly.